GUGAGGAAUAUUGGUCAAUGGGCGAGAGCCUGAACCAGCCAAGUAGCGUGCAGGAUGACGGCCCUAUGGGUUGUAAACUGCUUUUACACGGGGAUAAAGUGUGCGACGUGUCGUUCAUUGCAGGUACCGUGCGAAUAAGGACCGGCUAAUUCCGUGCCAGCAGCCGCGGUAAUACGGAAGGUCCGGGCGUUAUCCGGAUUUAUUGGGUUUAAAGGGAGCGUAGGCCGUCUGUUAAGCGUGUUGUGAAAUGUAGAUGCUCAACAUCUGAAUUGCAGCGCGAACUGACCGACUUGAGUGCGCAGGAAGUAGGCGGAAUUCGUGGUGUAGCGGUGAAAUGCUUAGAUAUCACGAAGAACUCCAAUUGCGAAGGCAGCUCACUGGGGUACAACUGACACUGAGGCUCGAAAGUGUGGGUAUCAAACAGGAUUAGAAACCCCAGUAGUCC
This 445-nucleotide ribosomal RNA is filed under the name uncultured bacterium. RNAcentral's name for it is "partial 16S ribosomal RNA". It matches the Rfam family "Bacterial small subunit ribosomal RNA", at positions 354 to 796 of the family's 1533-position model. The record is from RNAcentral.